Long non-coding RNA from Prinia subflava (tawny-flanked prinia), 680 nucleotides. RefSeq lists it as uncharacterized. The record is from RefSeq and is a predicted model, not a curated record. NCBI's taxonomy places the organism in Eukaryota, Metazoa, Chordata, Aves, Passeriformes, Cisticolidae. The transcript has 3 exons.
CGCGGCUCGGCUUGUUGUACAUCUUGCGGCACUGCGUGGAGUAGAACUGGAAAGGCACCCAGGUCUUGCCGUAGUCCAUGGACUUGUGGAUGGCCAUGGACUCGGGGCGCGGCGAGCAGAACUGCAGGCUGACAGCUGCGGGACACCCAGCAGCCAGGAGAGCUCCGGGCUGGCCCGAACAGGAGCCGGAGCGGCUCAGGCGCUCCCGGGAACUCGCAGGUGGUUUCAGCCGCUGCAGCACUGCGGAGACUGUUUAGGGGAAGGACCCGUGGAAGGUGGUGGAGCUGAAACCCAGAUCUCAGCGGGAAUGUUCCUCCCCUGUGAAAAGGAACUCGAUCUCCUUAAGCUGCUGUAAGGUAAAGGUGGAACCUGGGCUGGGCUUCCAAGGGAGAGGGAGGGAGCGUGGCAGAAACUGGGGCCAGAACAGGCAGGGCAGGGUGGAUUUCAGCAACCUAAGGAGCACGAUUAUCGAAACAUGGAUCCCCAGAGCCUCCAGAUUCCCAGGUAACUCCCUUUGCCAGAUAAUUAACUCUUCUCCAACAUUCCCUCUGCAGUGAUAAGUGGGCCCGUGGGACACAGCUCCGACUGCAGCUGGGACAGUCCCGGGGCAGGCUCUGUUUCAGCAUUGCAGAUGAAGCGGGAGUUUUAUUGCUUUUUUUUGUUUGUUUGUUUGUUUGUGG